AAGUCGUAACAAGGUUUCCGUAGGUGAACCUGCGGAAGGAUCAUUACCGAGUACUAUAACUCAUAACCCUUUGUGAACCUUCAUACCUGUUGCUUCGGCGGCGAGCCCCCUGGGCGGACCGCCGGAGGAAUACAAACUCUUUGCAUUAUAGUAUCUCUGAUUACUUAUUCAAUAAGUUAAAACUUUCAACAACGGAUCUCUUGGUUCUG
RNAcentral lists this unclassified non-coding RNA (209 nucleotides) under fungal sp. RNAcentral's name for it is "partial internal transcribed spacer region". The stretch from base 1 to 46 matches the Rfam family "Eukaryotic small subunit ribosomal RNA", at positions 1786 to 1831 of the family's 1831-position model. The record is from RNAcentral. Lineage: Eukaryota; Fungi.